RNAcentral lists this ribosomal RNA (253 nucleotides) under uncultured bacterium. RNAcentral describes it as "partial 16S ribosomal RNA". It matches the Rfam family "Bacterial small subunit ribosomal RNA", at positions 524 to 776 of the family's 1533-position model. The record is from RNAcentral.
UACGGGGGGGGCAAGCGUUGUUCGGAAUUACUGGGCGUAAAGGGCUCGUAGGCGGCCAACUAAGUCAGACGUGAAAUCCCUCGGCUUAACCGGGGAACUGCAUCUGAUACUGGAUGGCUUGAGUUCGGGAGAGGGAUGCGGAAUUCCAGGUGUAGCGGUGAAAUGCGUAGAUAUUGGGAGGAACACCGGUGGCGAAGGCGGCUAUCUGGACCGGUACUGACGCUGAGACGCGAAAGCGUGGGGAGCAAACAGG